RNAcentral lists this ribosomal RNA (484 nucleotides) under uncultured bacterium. RNAcentral's name for it is "partial 16S ribosomal RNA". It matches the Rfam family "Bacterial small subunit ribosomal RNA", at positions 30 to 507 of the family's 1533-position model. The record is from RNAcentral.
AUUGAACGCUGGCGGCAGGCCUAACACAUGCAAGUCGAGCGGAUGAAGGGAGCUUGCUCCAGGAUUCAGCGGCGGACGGGUGAGUAAUGCCUAGGAAUCUGCCUGGUAGUGGGGGAUAACGUCCGGAAACGGGCGCUAAUACCGCAUACGUCCUGAGGGAGAAAGUGGGGGAUCUUCGGACCUCACGCUAUCAGAUGAGCCUAGGUCGGAUUAGCUAGUUGGUGGGGUAAAGGCCUACCAAGGCGACGAUCCGUAACUGGUCUGAGAGGAUGAUCAGUCACACUGGAACUGAGACGCGGUCCAGACUCCUACGGGAGGCAGCAGUGGGGAAUAUUGGACAAUGGGCGAAAGCCUGAUCCAGCCAUGCCGCGUGUGUGAAGAAGGUCUUCGGAUUGUAAAGCACUUUAAGUUGGGAGGAAGGGCAGUAAGUUAAUACCUUGCUGUUUUGACGUUACCAACAGAAUAAGCACCGGCUAACUUCGUG